CAGAUCCUGAGCUGAAUUCUGAUUCUGGAUAGGCAAUGGUUCAACAGAAUGAAGAGCAUAAUCAGGUCCAAAGUACUCGUAAUACUCAUUGUCAGGCAAUUUAUUUUCAAGCUCUACUCCAACUGCAACUGAUGUCUGCAGAUAUUGAAGACGUAGUUCAACCUUAGCGCAACUUGCAAGACAAGUAAACAGUAAUCGGUGAUAAUCCAAAAACGGGAAAAAAAAACAUCAAAGUACAGAGAUAGAGACAGGCCUCAUAGGCCCAGCACCGGGCAACGUUUCGAAUUGAAUAACCUCCACCGCCCAAUACCAUCAGAGGGACAUUGAAAGACCUGAGGAAUCGAAGGCAAUCUGCAUGGCCUUUGACAGAUAAGUUGAAACGGCCCA
RNAcentral lists this long non-coding RNA (387 nucleotides) under Nicotiana benthamiana. Its description in RNAcentral is "long non-coding RNA (NBEN_LNC003383)". The record is from RNAcentral. Lineage: Eukaryota; Viridiplantae; Streptophyta; Magnoliopsida; Solanales; Solanaceae.